GACGAACGCUGGCGGCGUGCCUAAUACAUGCAAGUAGGACGCAGUUGCGAACGGGUGAGUAACGCGUAGGUAACUACCUAUUAGAGGGGGAUAACUAUUGGAAACGAUCGCUAAUACCGCAUACUAGUAGAUGGACCUGCGUUGUAUUAGCUAGUAGGUUGGGUAAUGGCCUACCUUGGCAACGAGACAUCUCCGACCUGAGAGGGUGGUCGGCCAUAAUGGGUCUGAGCAACGGGCAAGAAUCCCAAGGGAGGUAGCAGGAGGGAAUCGUCGGCAAUGGGGGGAACCCUGAACGAGCAAAGCAGCGUGAGGGAAGAAGGUUGUCGGAUCGUAAAGCUCUGUUGUUAAGGAAGCGGUACUUAACCAGAAAGGGACGGCGAAAUACGUGCCAGCCGCCGCGGUAAUUC
This 407-nucleotide ribosomal RNA is filed under the name uncultured bacterium. RNAcentral describes it as "partial 16S ribosomal RNA". It matches the Rfam family "Bacterial small subunit ribosomal RNA", at positions 28 to 526 of the family's 1533-position model. The record is from RNAcentral.